Molecule: ribosomal RNA, 660 nt
Filed under: Roseovarius sp.
Lineage: Bacteria; Pseudomonadati; Pseudomonadota; Alphaproteobacteria; Rhodobacterales; Roseobacteraceae
Description: bacterial SSU rRNA
Rfam family: Bacterial small subunit ribosomal RNA
Source: RNAcentral
UUGAGCGCGCUACCAUGCAGUCGAGCGAACCUUCGGGUUAGCGGCGGACGGGUGAGUAACGCGUGGGAACGUACCCUCUUCUGCGGGAUAGCCACUGGAAACGGUGAGUAAUACCGCAUACGCCCUUCGGGGGAAAGAUUUAUCGGAGGAGGAUCGGCCCGCGUUGGAUUAGGUAGUUGGUGGGGUAAUGGCCUACCAAGCCUACGAUCCAUAGCUGGUUUUAGAGGAUGAUCAGCCACACUGGGACUGAGACACGGCCCAGACUCCUACGGGAGGCAGCAGUGGGGAAUCUUAGACAAUGGGCGCAAGCCUGAUCUAGCCAUGCCGCGUGAGUGACGAAGGCCUUAGGGUCGUAAAGCUCUUUCGCCAGAGAUGAUAAUGACAGUAUCUGGUAAAGAAACCCCGGCUAACUCCGUGCCAGCAGCCGCGGUAAUACGGAGGGGGUUAGCGUUGUUCGGAAUUACUGGGCGUAAAGCGCACGUAGGCGGAUUGGAAAGUUGGGGGUGAAAUCCCAGGGCUCAACCCUGGAACUGCCUCCAAAACUCCCAGUCUGGAGUUCGAGAGAGGUGAGUGGAAUUCCGAGUGUAGAGGUGAAAUUCGUAGAUAUUCGGAGGAACACCAGUGGCGAAGGCGGCUCACUGGCUCGAUACUGACGCUGAG